RNAcentral lists this ribosomal RNA (422 nucleotides) under uncultured Mucilaginibacter sp. RNAcentral's name for it is "bacterial SSU rRNA". It matches the Rfam family "Bacterial small subunit ribosomal RNA", at positions 355 to 774 of the family's 1533-position model. The record is from RNAcentral. Lineage: Bacteria; Pseudomonadati; Bacteroidota; Sphingobacteriia; Sphingobacteriales; Sphingobacteriaceae.
UAAGGAAUAUUGGUCAAUGGGCGGAAGCCUGAACCAGCCAUGCCGCGUGCAGGAAGACGGCCCUACGGGUUGUAAACUGCUUUUGUACGGGAAUAAACCUACUUACGUGUAAGUAGCUGAAUGUACUGUAAGAAUAAGGAUCGGCUAACUCCGUGCCAGCAGCCGCGGUAAUACGGAGGAUCCAAGCGUUAUCCGGAUUUAUUGGGUUUAAAGGGUGCGUAGGCGGCCUAUUAAGUCAGGGGUGAAAGACGGUAGCUCAACUAUCGCAGUGCCUUUGAUACUGAUAGGCUUGAAUGCAGCUGAGGUAGGCGGAAUGUGACAAGUAGCGGUGAAAUGCAUAGAUAUGUCACAGAACACCGAUUGCGAAGGCAGCUUACUAAAGUGCGAUUGACGCUGAGGCACGAAAGCGUGGGGAUCAAACA